CAAUUCCUUGUGAAAAUAAGACACUUUUCAAUAACACACACUUGAUUUUACUUCACAGUUUCAAUCAAGUAGACACACACUUGAUCUUGCUUAACAACUUUGAUCAAGUAGACACACACUUGAUCUUGCUUCAUAGCUUUGACCAAGUAGACACACACUCUUGCUUACAAGCUUAGAGUGACAAAUUACAACCAUAAAUCAGACCAAUUCAAUCAUCUAUGGAUGAAUUGAAUGACUUACAAGUCUCACGACUAAACAAG
RNAcentral lists this long non-coding RNA (260 nucleotides) under Lathyrus oleraceus (garden pea). RNAcentral's name for it is "Pisum sativum (pea) long non-coding RNA (PSAT_LNC002873)". Lineage: Eukaryota; Viridiplantae; Streptophyta; Magnoliopsida; Fabales; Fabaceae. The record is from RNAcentral.